AGAGUUUGAUCCUGGCUCAGGAUGAACGCUAGCGGCGGGCUUAAUACAUGCAAGUCGAGGGGCAGCACGAUGUAGCAAUACAUUGGUGGCGACCGGCGGACGGGUGCGUAACACGUAUGCAACUUGCCCUAUACUGGGGGAUAGCCCGAAGAAAUUCGGAUUAAUGCCCCAUAACAUCAGGAUAAGCAUUUAUCUUGGUUCAAAACUCCGGUGGUAUAGGAUGGGCAUGCGGUCGAUUAGCUUGUUGGUGAGGUAACGGCUCACCAAGGCGACGAUCGAUAGGGGGCCUGAGAGGGUGAUCCCCCACACUGGUACUGAGACACGGACCAGACUCCUACGGGAGGCAGCAGUAAGGAAUAUUGGUCAAUGGGCGAAAGCCUGAACCAGCCACGCCGCGUGAAGGAAGACGGCCCUACGGGUUGUAAACUUCUUUUCUACGGGAAUAAACCUCAGGACGUGUCCUGAGCUGAAGGUACCGUAGGAAUAAGGAUCGGCUAACUCCGUGCCAGCAGCCGCGGUAAUACGGAGGAUCCAAGCGUUAUCCGGAUUUAUUGGGUUUAAAGGGUGCGUAGGUGGGAUUAUAAGUCAGAGGUGAAAGCUAGCAGCUUAACUGUUAAAUUGCCUUUGAUACUGUUAUUCUUGAGUGUAGUUGGCGUUGGCGGAAUGUGACAUGUAGCGGUGAAAUGCGUAGAUAUGUCACAGAACACCGAUCGCGAAGGCAGCUAACGAAACUAUCACUGACACUGAUGCACGAAAGCGUGGGGAGCAAACAGGAUUAGAUACCCUGGUAGUCCACGCCGUAAACGAUGAUAACUCGACGUUGGCAAUAUACUGUUCAGCGUCCAAGCGAAAGCGUUAAGUUAUCCACCUGGGGAGUACGAUCGCAAGGUUGAAACUCAAAGGAAUUGACGGGGGCCCGCACAAGCGGUGGAGCAUGUGGUUUAAUUCGAUGAUACGCGAGGAACCUUACCAGGGCUUAAAUGGGAAUUGACAGACUGGGAAACUAGUCCUCCUUAGGGCAAUUUUCAAGGUGCUGCAUGGUUGUCGUCAGCUCGUGCCGUGAGGUGUUGGGUUAAGUCCCGCAACGAGCGCAACCCCUACUGUUAGUUGCCAGCAUGUAAUGAUGGGGACUCUAGCAGAACUGCCAGCGCAAGCUGUGAGGAAGGUGGGGAUGACGUCAAAUCAUCACGGCCCUUACGUCCUGGGCUACACACGUGCUACAAUGGUCGAUACAGAGGGCAGCCACCUGGUGACAGGGAGCAAAUCCUUAAAAUCGAUCUCAGUUCGGAUUGGAGUCUGCAACUCGACUCUAUGAAGCUGGAAUCGCUAGUAAUCGCGCAUCAGCCAUGGCGCGGUGAAUACGUUCCCGGGCCUUGUACACACCGCCCGUCAAGCCAUGGAAGUUGGGGGUGCCUAAAGUGCGUAACCGUAAGGAGCGCCCUAGGGCAAAACUGAUAACUGGGGCUAAGUCGUAACAAGGUAGCCGUACCGAAGGUGUGGCUG
RNAcentral lists this ribosomal RNA (1503 nucleotides) under metagenome. RNAcentral's name for it is "bacterial SSU rRNA". It matches the Rfam family "Bacterial small subunit ribosomal RNA". The record is from RNAcentral.